CUUUAACAUUUUAGACUGACAAAUUAUAUGAAAAAUCAGUCAUGUUAUGCAGUAGCCUCUUAAAGGAGGCUGAAAAAAUUCUUCCAAAUGUAGCAUUUCCUCUGUUACCUGGUAUUGUUACUUUCUGUUCAGUGGAAAGGUGAGUUUUAAACAUUACAUUCUCAGGGAAGUGAGAAACCUAGGAGCCUUCCCCAAACUUCCAGAUUGCCUGCCUCUGAAAGAUAAUAAGCAGUCUAAAAGAUUCAGUAGGAUGAAUGUAGAUAAUGCUAUGUUAUUUAUUAUUAAAAUUAUUUUUCAUCAAAGUUUCAAGUGCUUUUUUCCCCCAGAUUGACAUUAUUUUCCCCAUUUGAAAAUUUUGUCUCUUUAUUCGAAAAUGUAUUGUUUCAACUUCAGGCCACACUGAGACCCAAGUUCUUAGUGUUGAUACAUUCACAGAAAUUAGUAGAGCGUGAUGUAGGCAAAAUCUUACACAUGAAUGCUUUUGGCCUUACUAAUCUAGAGCAUUUCUGCUUUAUACCAUUAAGUGCCUUUAUGCUUUUCUUUUUUUAACCAGAAGUUUGAUCUCAUUCCUUAGAGUAAAAUAUGAAUAUUACAAUUGUUUUCUGUAACUUUAAACUAUACCACUUCAGUUAAUGUUUAUAAACUGUUUUGAAAAUUUUAGUUUAACAAAGCAAUGCAAAUGCAACAUGUCAAUUUAUUUGUAUUUGUUUUAUUAAGGAUUUUUUGCUAUGCCACUUUUGCAACGAGAUAAGAGAGUGUUAAAAAAAAAAGAUACCAGCCAAUCCGCAAAGAGUUCUUAUAUUAUCUACAAAGAGAAAAUACAAGAAAACACGAUACAAAGAGGAGCUUUCAGCAUGAGAGCCAAAAAAGGGGAAUGUUUGCUUUCAAACCUUAAAAAGUUCAGUUGAAAUUUAGAACACUGCAGCAAAUGAGUGAAUUACAGUGGAACAGCUGCUGGAAAUUGUCCAGGAGAAGUGUAACCAAGAGAGCAAAUUUAAAGCAUUCUUUGCAAAAGGUGGUGUCCUGGAGUGCUGAACUGGGGAAACAGAAAGACAGAUGGAGGAAAUCAAAUGAAUCAGGGAACACGUUACCAUGGCCUGCAAAUCCCUGUUGCUUAGCUGAAGUACAGCACUGA
This 1135-nucleotide long non-coding RNA is filed under the name Taeniopygia guttata (zebra finch). RNAcentral's name for it is "lncRNA (ENSTGUG00000029440.1)". The record is from RNAcentral. Lineage: Eukaryota; Metazoa; Chordata; Aves; Passeriformes; Estrildidae.